Molecule: long non-coding RNA, 477 nt
Organism: Drosophila erecta
Lineage: Eukaryota; Metazoa; Arthropoda; Insecta; Diptera; Drosophilidae
Exons: 3
Source: RefSeq, a predicted model, not a curated record
AACUGUACACCUUUCGUUGCAGACGAAACGCGAGCAAGUGAGGCCCUGGAUCAAAUGUAAAAGCAAUUAACUCCCUAAUUUAGUUCACAUGAAAAGUGGCAGCCAGGGCCUAAGGCAAUCUAAAUUCCACUGGAAGCCCAUUCCCCCAUGUUUAAUUCGGAAUAGCCAACCGUUAUACCCGUAAUACCCUGUAGCAAGUAACUUGCAAGCGAUGUUUCACCUACAUACCAAAGCACACAGAUAACAUAAACACACCGAACAGAACAGGAAAACAAGGAGGAGCAGAAGGAAAAGGAAUGGUUGCGAUCCUGAUAGAAAACAGAACAUUUAUUUAUAAUGAUGAAAUCAAGAAUUCGAAGAUUACCCAAUCAAGCCCUAAUCUAGAAAAUGACAGUUGAUGCAAAUUUUUGGGAAGUGCAAGAAGGUGGAGCAAGAAAAGAGGUGAGGUGCAAGUCGAGAGGAACCUGCAAUUAUGGG